RNAcentral lists this ribosomal RNA (375 nucleotides) under uncultured bacterium. RNAcentral describes it as "bacterial SSU rRNA". It matches the Rfam family "Bacterial small subunit ribosomal RNA", at positions 521 to 896 of the family's 1533-position model. The record is from RNAcentral.
UAAUACGGAGGGGGUUAGCGUUGUUCGGAAUUACUGGGCGUAAAGCGCGCGUAGGCGGACUAUUAAGUCAGGGGUGAAAUCCCGGGGCUCAACCCCGGAACUGCCUUUGAUACUGGUAGUCUUGAGUUCGAGAGAGGUGAGUGGAAUUCCGAGUGUAGAGGUGAAAUUCGUAGAUAUUCGGAGGAACACCAGUGGCGAAGGCGGCUCACUGGCUCGAUACUGACGCUGAGGUGCGAAAGUGUGGGGAGCAAACAGGAUUAGAUACCCUGGUAGUCCACACCGUAAACGAUGAAUGCCAGUCGUCGGGUAGCAUGCUAUUCGGUGACACACCUAACGGAUUAAGCAUUCCGCCUGGGGAGUACGGUCGCAAGAUUA